GCCAAUGAAAAGACUCCCACUGACUUCAACAGGAUUUGGAUGGAAGUGGUUAUACACUGGGGGGUGUGAUCCUGCACUGAGGGAGUUGAAGGUGGUAAGCACAUCACGAAGCCGUCCCUGACAGUUAAAUCGAUGCAAACGCUCUUCAUGAGGAUGUGCGCCGCAGACACCAGGAGCGUAAUGCAGAUAUGCAAACGUGAUUUAAUUAUUGUGGUGGCUGAACAUCGAC
Molecule: long non-coding RNA, 229 nt
Organism: Mauremys reevesii (Reeves's turtle)
Lineage: Eukaryota; Metazoa; Chordata; Testudines; Geoemydidae
Exons: 3
Source: RefSeq, a predicted model, not a curated record